UACAGAGGGCUCAAGCGUUGUUCGGAUUCAUUGGGCGUAAAGGGUGUGUAGGCGGCGCCGUAAGUCGGGUGUGAAAUUUCGGAGCUUAACUCCGAAACUGCAUUCGAUACUGCGGUGCUUGAGGACUGGAGAGGAGACUGGAAUUCAUGGUGUAGCAGUGAAAUGCGUAGAGAUCAUGAGGAAGACCAGUGGCGAAGGCGGGUCUCUGGACAGUUCCUGACACUGAGACACGAAGGCCAGGGGAGCAAACGGG
Molecule: ribosomal RNA, 253 nt
Filed under: uncultured bacterium
Lineage: Bacteria
Description: partial 16S ribosomal RNA
Rfam family: Bacterial small subunit ribosomal RNA
Source: RNAcentral